CAACGCCGCGUGAGUGAUGAAGGUUUUCGGAUCGUAAAGCUCUGUUGUUAGGGAAGAACAAGUGCCGUUCAAAUAGGGCGGCACCUUGACGGUACCUAACCAGAAAGCCACGGCUAACUACGUGCCAGCAGCCGCGGUAAUACGUAGGUGGCAAGCGUUGUCCGGAAUUAUUGGGCGUAAAGGGCUCGCAGGCGGUUUCUUAAGUCUGAUGUGAAAGCCCCCGGCUCAACCGGGGAGGGUCAUUGGAAACUGGGGAACUUGAGUGCAGAAGAGGAGAGUGGAAUUCCACGUGUAGCGGUGAAAUGCGUAGAGAUGUGGAGGAACACCAGUGGCGAAGGCGACUCUCUGGUCUGUAACUGACGCUGAGGAGCGAAAGCGUGGGGAGCGAACAGGAUUAGAUACCCUGGUAGUCCACGCCGUAAACGAUGAGUGCUAAGUGUUAGGAGGUUUCCGCCCCUAUAA
Molecule: ribosomal RNA, 462 nt
Filed under: uncultured Bacillus sp.
Lineage: Bacteria; Bacillati; Bacillota; Bacilli; Caryophanales; Bacillaceae
Description: bacterial SSU rRNA
Rfam family: Bacterial small subunit ribosomal RNA
Source: RNAcentral